CAAAGAAUAGUUUAAAGAAAACACCAGUUUUGGGGAUUGGAGAUCUAUUUAGAUAGCUUUUUGA
This 64-nucleotide transfer RNA is filed under the name Haematopinus asini. RNAcentral's name for it is "tRNA-Pro". The record is from RNAcentral. Lineage: Eukaryota; Metazoa; Arthropoda; Insecta; Psocodea; Haematopinidae.